This is a non-coding RNA of Misgurnus anguillicaudatus (oriental weatherfish), 3346 nucleotides long. The record is from RefSeq and is a predicted model, not a curated record. NCBI's taxonomy places the organism in Eukaryota, Metazoa, Chordata, Actinopteri, Cypriniformes, Cobitidae.
AGGACGCUACUCCAGGAUCUCUGACUUACAGCUUGAUGAGCAGAUAAGACAGUUAACUGGUGUUAAUUAUGAAAUUGGACCAGAAGCAGUCAGAGCAAGGCUGUAUGCAGAGGGAAUACUUGUACAAAGACAUAUGAGGGCAAGCAUGCUAAGAAUUGAUCCUGAGGGUGCUGCCUACAGAGCUAUGUCUCAUCGGCUUCAGAGGAGGGUCUAUCGAGUUGCUGGGCCGAAUUCUCUCUGGCACAUUGAUGGGAAUCAUAAGCUUAUCAGGUGGAGAAUUGUGAUUCAUGGUGGAAUUGAUGGGUUCAGCAGGCUUGUGGUAUUUCUUAAAGCUUCUAAUAACAACAGAAGUGUCACAGUCAUGGAACAUUUUGUGAAUGCAACAGUGGAGUAUGGAAUACCUUCCAGAGUAUGAUGUGACCAUGGUGGGGAAAGCAAUGCCGUUUGUCUGUUCAUGGAAGUAUCCCAAGGGCAUGGCAGAGGAAGUGCAAUGAGAGGCAGGAGCACCCACAAUCAAAGAAUAGAAAGAUUAUGGGGAGAUGUUUGGAGAGGUACUGUUAAUGUUUACCACUCAAUAUUUACACUUCUGGAAGACGACGGGAUGAUUGAGCAUACCAAUGAGAAACACGUGGGCCUUGCAUUAUGUGUACCUACCCAGACUCAAUAGGGAUUUACAGUUGUUUGUAAAUCAGUGGAAUUACCACAGACUGAGGACUGCCAGGUACAUGUCCCCAUACCAGAUUUUUGUAAGAGGCUGCCUUGCAAUGCAACGUCGAGGUCGAACAGGAAUACGUGGAAUUUUUCAUGACACACCACAAGGAGUCACUACUGACACCCCAAACCCUUUACCCAAGCUUCAGUUGCCUCCGGAAGUAGUUGUCCCAGACAAUCAGUUUACUGUAUCUGAAGAACAUCAGCAACAGCUUCAAGGGCAUAUUGACCCAUUAGGUGGAGCAAGAGACAGCCUUGGAAUAGAUGUGCUACAAGAAGACCUUGGUUUCUUAGCAGUGCACUAUCCAUAAUUAUACAACAGUUCUUUCUGGUUCUCGAAUCUGAUUGGCUAAGAGCUAUGCGAUAUUGUGCUGAUAUCAGCACUGUAACCGCUUCACAUUUCGUAUCAUUCCGCCACCUAGUGAAUGGAGGUCCUAAGCAGGCUCAUCUCUGAAUGGAAAAACACAGACGAGCUGUUUUGAAUCACUCUCCGUGUGUCUCAUUAGUUUACUAGCUCAUAAAUCAGUCUGUGAAUCCCCAAUCGGAAGUUAUUAUUCCGUCAAAGAUCAGCGCUCUUGGAUGUUACGUUAAAGUUAAUGGGAGAAAUGUCUUGUCACAUCGUGUGGACGAUUAACACUUGGAAAGAGGAAUAUAAACACUCGUUUUUUUUCUGGAGCUAUAUUUCUUAUCAGAACGCGAAAACACCGUGGAACUGCAGGUAAGCACUGCAGCUUUUAAAUGUGGACAUUGAUCAUUUACUUUAUCGUGACGUGACUAUUAAAACAUGUUAUGAGAUAUCGCCACUGGUAUACCGUUAUUUAUAAGCAGCAUGCAAAAACAUCUCUCUGACACUUAUAAAAAAACGUUUUAUAUAGUACUGACAAGAACAAAGUUUAAUAAUAAUAAUCGAGUGCUCGUAUCACGUUAAGAAUAAAUGAGAAAGCAAUAGUAACGUUAUACAAGUAUAGUUUUAUUAACUUUUACCUCGCGCCAAAACAAUAACAACACAAAAGACACUAAAUAUGAAUAAAAAAACAAGUAAUAGUUUGAUGAUGACACCAAAUACUGCUGAUUUGAUCUCAUUUUGAUGAUCAUAAACAAACAAGGCCAACAUGAGAGCCAGGGAAUCCCUGUCAGAGAUGUAGCCCAGAGAGGGCUGUGGUCAGCGGGGCGAGUGAACACUGACGUCCGCUCAUGCUUUGGUUCUCAUUCGUACCGAAUCUCACUAAGCAAACGUUCAAACAGGCGCUAUCUUUACUAAUCGACUGCAGAUUUAAAUAUAAUACAUAUACAUUCUCGACUGAACUAAUCUUAAAACUACACUUUGUGACCAAGAAACGGUAAUAUAAAGUAACGGCUUUUCCGUCCAUUGAGUUGUUAUGAGCUUCAAAGCAGCCGAAAGUUUUACCUGUCAUUCUGGCCGCCCUCAAAUCCGUGGCGGAAGAAGUAGUUCUCAAACAAAGAGGCUUUUAAAAUAACUCCGUUUUCUAGUUUUCGUUUUUCAAACGUGUGCCGUCGAACUGUUGUAUAAAAGCAAUAUCGCUCUCGGAAUCGUGUGAUAUAGCUCUAUAUCAUCACGGCUGUGAUUAGGCCAGAGGCACGAGGCCGUAGAGCUAUAUCACACUCCUACUUGAGCGAUAUUGCUUAAAUAUCUUUAGAUAUUGUAACUAGUUUGUGUUACAAUGUAUGCAGAACUGUUCUGUACUGUGAAUACUACACUUAUAAUUUUGUGUAUAUGCUACUUUAAGAUUAAACAUUCUAAAAUUGCUGAAAAAAUUACAAAUAAAUUGUUUUGAUACCAUUGAUGUCUAAAUUUCUGGAAACAAGAAACACAGCAACUGCAUAUUUAAGAAAUGUGUCGAUUUAAUUAAUACCAUGGAUGUCUACAUUUCUUAAAACAGACAGCAAAAUAACGUGCAGUCAGUAACAGCAUAUUUAUUUAAAAACUUUAAUACCAUAGGGGUCUACACACAAACACGCGUCACAAUGAACAGUUAUUAACAUCGUCUCCAUAACAUGUCCCACUAAAAUAUUACCGAGGUGGCAAGGGAGACUAAUCAAAAUCGUACCAUGGUUUGUUGUUCAGUUAGUUGUGAAACUGCGACACCUCUUGAUAAACUUUCAGUGGGAGACAGUGCCUCUCGCUUAAACCUAUAGACUACUCAAAUAGACCCCAGGUGUGUGGUAGCUUUGCCUUUUAAUAUUUUAUUAGUGGAGCAAUUUGGAAAAUUGAGAGGCAAUCUUAUCAUUAUGACAUUGGGCUCAUCUUGGUUGUCGGGUAUUUUUAAAUGUAUCCCUCCCCCAUAAUUCUGAGCAUAAUCAGAAAUAAGGUAUCAAGUCACAUUUUAUCUUAUUUACCCAAGGAUGUUAAAUCCACAAAUUCUUAAAAUCGGCUAUUGUUUUUACCAGAAACAUAGAGAGGAGCCUAAUAAAAAUAAAUAAACAAAUUUAAUAAAUAGGCUGCAAUUUAAAAAAUAAAAUGUCCUUUACAUAAACAAAUAACAUUUAAUGAGCUGAAAUAUUCAUAUAUAAUAUGAAAAUAGAAUGCCAAUUCUAUUUCAAGAAUUUCAAAAAUACUUUUUAUUUUUAGGCAUGUAAUUCUUUCUUUUUGAUCAUUAUUGUUGUUCUUCUGUUU